This 301-nucleotide ribosomal RNA is filed under the name uncultured bacterium. RNAcentral's name for it is "partial 16S ribosomal RNA". It matches the Rfam family "Bacterial small subunit ribosomal RNA", at positions 509 to 807 of the family's 1533-position model. The record is from RNAcentral.
CAGUCGCCGCGGUAAUACAGAGGAUGCAAGCGUUAUCCGGAAUGAUUGGGCGUAAAGCGUCUGUAGGUGGCUUUUCAAGUCCGCCGUCAAAUCCCAGGGCUCAACCCUGGACAGGCGGUGGAAACUACCAAGCUGGAGUAUGGUAGGGGCAGAGGGAAUUUCCGAUGGAGCGGUGAAAUGCAUUGAGAUCAGAAAGAACACCAACAGUGAAAGCACUCUGCUGGGCCGACACUGACACUAAGAGACGAAAGCUAGGGGAGCAAAUGGGAUUAGAUACCCCUGUAGUCCCUGUCUCUUAUAC